GACGAACGCUGGCGGCGUGCUUAACACAUGCAAGUCGAACGGUAAGGCCCUUCGGGGUACACGAGUGGCGAACGGGUGAGUAACACGUGGGUGAUCUGCCCUGCACUUCGGGAUAAGCCUGGGAAACUGGGUCUAAUACCGGAUAGGACCACUGCCUGCAUGGGGGGUGGUGGAAAGCUGUUGCGGUGUGGGAUGGGCCCGCGGCCUAUCAGCUUGUUGGUGGGGUGAUGGCCUACCAAGGCGACGACGGGUAGCCGGCCAGAGAGGGUGACCGGCCACACUGGGACUGAGAUACGGCCCAGACUCCUACGGGAGGCAGCAGUGGGGAAUAUUGCACAAUGGGCGCAAGCCUGAUGCAGCGACGCCGCGUGAGGGAUGACGGCCUUCGGGUUGUAAACCUCUUUCAGCACCGACGAAGCGCAAGUGACGGUAGGUGCAGAAGAAGGACCGGCCAACUACGUGCCAGCCGCCGCGGUAA
RNAcentral lists this ribosomal RNA (478 nucleotides) under uncultured bacterium. Its description in RNAcentral is "partial 16S ribosomal RNA". It matches the Rfam family "Bacterial small subunit ribosomal RNA", at positions 28 to 523 of the family's 1533-position model. The record is from RNAcentral.